AGAGGUUUCCAUAAGACCAGUGCUGCGGUGUGGAACAAAACUGAGCCACACACAGAAUCCAGGCUCACUCACACAACUGCACAGGUACACAGACUACACAGGGCAAAGGAGUGAGAAGCAGAAUGGACUCAGAGGACUUAUUUCUCCACCAAUGAAAAAGGCCCAGCCCAGAUACACAUGGCAACAAGCACUACUGUUGGUUCCGGUAGGUAUAACGUGCACCGGCCGCGUAAGUGAGGACGAGCACCACUACGGAAUAUUGGGAGCUGCCUGUGAUUUAAUGGGCAAGCUAACGUGGAAAAACUCAGUCCGCUGAAUAACAAUGCGUCAAAUGGAGGAAGAGCCGGCUAUGAGCUGAAUACAAAUACAGUAAAUCGACGGAGGUCCUGAGAGACGAACACACAAGUCUUUGAAGCCGACAUACAGUCUUCGGAUGUGGAGCAGGCCACAGGAGAUGAAAACGCAGGUGACCUGCUUUGUGGCCAGCAGAGCCGGCACUCCCCGAAGCAGAUGGUUCACCGGUGGCUGCAGCCCACCUAGUGGGUCCGCUCUCUUGGCGGAACCGCUGAGAAAAACAGCCUCCCGAUGGAGGGGAGGAAAAAGAAACACAGCCGUCGUCUAUCAGAUGAUUCAUCACCCUCCGGCUCCCGGUACCGGCAGAAGGCCAAACCUCCAGUUGAGAAACCAUCUUGCUCAAACAACUUGGAACUUAAACUCUGUUUACAAACACUGCUGCCCUUCAGAACAGGAAAGGUGAUUUCAAUUUACCAGACUGCCCAGUUGAUCCACACAAACGCUAACGACCGCUAAUCUAAAAUAGCUUCUGUGCUAUCAACAAAAGCAGUAAAAUCAACUGUGGCAGCUACAGACCGAAACAGGGAAAUACUUCUAGAUCUUGGAAUCUGUUUCAUGUAAUGCAUCUGAAUUUCUUCAUCCGCCAGGCCUCUGUUUCCGAGCUUUCAAAGUCUUGUAGGUGGGUGCUUUGGGAAGCAUGUCAUUACAAUGGCUAGGAAUCCUUACAGACACUUCUCUUCAUAAUUCUUCCACAGCUGAACCUUAAUUAAAGGUGUAUAUCUUUUAGUCAGUCUCUCUUCUACGCUACCUCAUGAGGUGCAGUUCAGAUCUGACCGUAAAUCUUGAGACUUUAUCUGAUACUUGGAUUUGUACGUUUAAAUAUACUCAUGACGUUUCGGAAACAUGCUAUAUUCAAGAUCAAGUAAGACGCCGGUCCUAGGCUUAUGACCGUAACUAUAAUGUUUGGCUUCUGCACAUGAAAAACUGCCAUUUGCUCACCAUUAGUUCUGCUUCCCCUAAGUUGCCUCCAUGUAUUUCUAAGACCAAUUAUAUAGCUUAUGAACUUGUACUUUCCCAGUACCUGCCACCAUUCAUGCACCACAAACCCUCAAUCUGAGCUGUUAGUUAAGUUCUCCCCAAACGAGCUUGAUGGGCCGAAUGGCCUCCUCUUGUUUGUAAAUUUCUUAUGUUCUUAUGUAAUCAGGAUGUACUCACACUUGGCCCGGUUGCCCUGUACUGUGCCCGAGCACCAUUGCCCCCCCCCCCCACUCCCCUGCUGGUCUGCACUGACAUUGCCCCUAACGUCCUGGGCCCGAGCACGCUUUUGUCAUCACCGUGCAACUCAUUUAUGUCGAAUGAAACAUGGGAGGAAAGCGCUGUCGCAGAGCACAAUGGCGCCCAUGAUUAAUGUCCUUAUUUUGCGGCUUAUGUGGAGCCGUUCUGGGCGUGAUGAAAACAUGGCCCUCAUAGAUUUAUCGGAAAUGCAACGCAGCAAUUUCCAUUUGAUCAUGCUGCACGUAGAAGAAGAUUCCGACUCCUUUGCCUUUUCCUUUGGAAUCUCUUUGAUUUACGGCAGAGGCGCAGUGUUUGCCGGAAAUUCGGCCUGACGAGAGUAUCCAGGAACAACUGGAUGAAACGCACAAAAACUGAGAUAUUUGGUGAAAUACGGAACUGUCUUCUUAUAGGUGCAGCACGAUUAAAUGUAGGUGCCCUUAGGCAGACCUCACCGUCCAAUUUCACUUCAUCAGUGACUUGAUAAGUCAACACCCCCUCAGUAGAUGAUGCCCUAGGCGGCUGGCUAUGUCACCUGUAGGAUUGACCAGCCCUGACUCUACCCAUAAUGCCCAUAGCUUAACCUCUCUGCCAGUACCCCCCCCCCCGCAUCCCCCAAAUCUGCAUGGACCUCAUAUUUUCUAACCUGCUCCUCUACCCUCUGCAUCUCACCCCAUUGUCACGAAGCAACAGUCUGCAGGCUGUUUGAAAAACAGCACUGCUGCAAAGCAGCUGGUCCUGCCUCAAGGGAUCUCCCCUGCCUCAAGAGAUCUCCACUGCCUCAAGGGAUCUCUACUGCCUCAAGGGAUCUCCCCUGCCUCAAGAGAUCUCCACUGCCUCAAGGGAUCUCCCCUGCCUCAAGCGAUCUCCCCUGCCUCAAGCGAUCUCCACUGCCUCAAGGGGUCUCCACUGCCACAAUGAAGCACAACACAGGCCUGCUACCACCUAUGCUCACUGACAUGUUUAGCCUAUCCCACAGUCAGAGCAAGGUCCCUGUCCCACUUAAAGACGUCCAUCAUUGUUCCUACUCCCAUGAAUGACAAAAUAUCCAGCCUCAUUGACUAGGGACUCAUCGCCGUGACAUCAGUUGUCAUGAAAACCUGCCCCAGACAAACUUCUUAACAGCUUGAUGGAUUAUUUUGUGAACAACUCAGGUACCUACUUGUGUAAGAAUCCUAUAUGUUAAUUUUAGCUUCGCCUUCACCAUAAUUAGGCCAGAUCUCCUGAAUGUCAAAUUGUCACAGCCAGUGACCUACUAACAAACAGGAACCAGUAUGUGCAGCUGUGAUUCACCAUCAGCACCAGUGUGCCUCAGGGUUGUGUGUCCUCCCCAGUUCUCCUUGUCCGUAAUGGACUGCACCACCGCUGAACCCCCCACAAAGUGACUCAAGUUUGAAGAUGACUCCACACCAGCAGGUUUCAGCACAAAUGGAGAUGAGAUCAUCUACAGAAGGGUGAUGAAUCACUUGAUAUCGUGGUGCUCAAAGAAUCAUUUAGAGCUUAACAUUGUCAAAAUGAUAGAGGGGUGACUCACCCCACCUCCCCAAGACAAGUGAACACAACUGUGACUGUGAGCAAGAUGCUAGGAAUACACAUCACUGGCUCCCUCAAAUGGAGAAAGAAUAUCACUGCUCUUCCUAAGAAAGCUUUGCAGUGGUUAUACUUCCUGAGGCAGCUGAGGAAACUCACGGGUAACAGAACCACCCUGGUUCACAUCUAGAGACCCCCUAUGGAGAGCAUCCUGAUGUCUGCCAUAAGCUUAUGCUGGGGUUAUGGUUAUGGUUAUGUAUCUGGCCCCUGUAAACUACAACACAUUGUAGACCUUCCUGCUGAGAAGAACACUGGCUCCAGGGCUGUCUAACUUCUCAACGAGGCCUGCAAGUUACCACAUCGUCUACAACAUCAGCACCACUAUCAGACUCUGAUAUACAAUAAUAAAACACAUUCUUAAUUGCACCAUGAAUUUUUAGUACUCUCACUCUCACUUUACUGCAACAAAUCUGUUCAUUUAUACCCAUUUUUAUGGGUCUUAUUCCAACCACCCAAAUCCAUCUUGUUAUAUCUGCUUCACUCCUUCUCCUCCCUAUUGUCUCUCUCUCUCUCUCUCUGAUACACACAAACACAUUUAUAUAUAAUUUUUAUAUAUAAAAAAUAUGUUAGUAGUGGGUAUGCAGCACCAAACACACCAGAAAAGAUGCUUUUAUGUAAACUGUAGUUCUACAGCUACUAUAGCAUUUAUUUUGAAUCUUGAUUUGUACACUGUAAUGCCUUUUAGGAAACCAUGCAAACACGCAGCGCGUCCUCACUUGGAUGAUGACAUUACAGAGUAACCUGCAGACUUUCUCUAAUCUCACAUUUGCUGUGACAUGGCUCCCAUCCCACGGUACUGACUGCGCAUCCAGCCUCCAUCCACGUAUUACAGUGACGCCCAACACUGUACUCCACAAAGUCUGCUUAGUCCCAGCCAAUCCGAUUAUGCAAAAUGAUAUCUAGCUGUGAAGAAUGCAAUAAAGUCUGCAGUCUCGUUUUAACUACAAAACUUUGGCACCAUGAAACACACUAUGCAUGAAAAACACACAGAAGACAGCACUUGGUGUUACUUGCUCUGCUUGGAUCUUUGAUUUCAAGCAAAGACAACUAAAGUUGAUGGGGGAACAUUCACCAUAGUUUGACCUUUGACUUUAAUGCCUCCGCAUUCCAUCCUCUUUGAAAAAAGGUCUGGCCGCAUAUUUCCUGGACUCCAAAAGAAUCCCCUCUAGUGGGUUGAGUUUUGUUGUUUCAUUGGCUAAUCAUGUUUGAACAAUCAAUGGGGGAAAGGUAGCACUGAUUCUGAACUAAAACAGCAUGUAAAUGAAUUAAGCAAAUCCAACCCCCUUCACUGUGAUUAUCUUUGUAAUGUAGAGGAACACUG
This is a long non-coding RNA of Paramormyrops kingsleyae, 4477 nucleotides long. RefSeq lists it as uncharacterized. The record is from RefSeq and is a predicted model, not a curated record. NCBI's taxonomy places the organism in Eukaryota, Metazoa, Chordata, Actinopteri, Osteoglossiformes, Mormyridae.